UCUCCUUCCUCCUCUCUCCUUCCCCCUCUCUACACAUACAUCUAUAAUAGAUCUACUCUACAAAUACACAUCUACGCUCUACAUUAUCUACAAAUUUACGUCUACGCUCUACAUUAUAUCUAUGAUUACAUAAUAAAUUAUACAUCCAUCUUUCAUCCGAAAAUAGAAUCUGCAAAAUACAGAGUCUAGGAGUAACUUCCAAGCAGAAGACGGGAAACUCAGUCAGUGUCUGGAAAACUUCAAAGGCUGGCUUUGUUUUUUCCUCUGCAAAAUAAAUCAAGAACAUGCAUAUAACUAUUAGUACGUUACUUCAAAAAAAUCCAAAAAGAUAAAUAAAUCAUCUAAGACGAAU
This 352-nucleotide long non-coding RNA is filed under the name Capsella grandiflora. RNAcentral's name for it is "long non-coding RNA (CGRA_LNC001309)". Lineage: Eukaryota; Viridiplantae; Streptophyta; Magnoliopsida; Brassicales; Brassicaceae. The record is from RNAcentral.